RNAcentral lists this long non-coding RNA (1142 nucleotides) under Homo sapiens (human). Its description in RNAcentral is "non-protein coding lnc-RGSL1-7:1". The record is from RNAcentral. Lineage: Eukaryota; Metazoa; Chordata; Mammalia; Primates; Hominidae.
CUUGCAUUCCAAAAAUAAAUCCCCCUUGGUCAUAAUAAAUAAUCAUGUUAAUAUGCUGAUGAAUUCAGUUUGCUAGUAUUUUUUUUGGUAAUUUUUGUAUCAAUGUUUAUAAGAAAUAUUGAUUUGUAAUUUUCUUUUCUUGUAGUGCCUUUACCUAGCUUUGGUAUUGGGGUAAUGCUGGCCUCAUAGAAUGAGUUAGGACGUGUUGUCUUUUCUUCAGUUUUUGAACAGUUUGAGAAGCGUUGGAUAUUAGUUCUUCUUUAAAUGUUUGGUUGAACUCACCAGUGAUUCCAUCAGGUCUAGUGCUUUUCUUUGUUGGGAGAUUUUUGAAUACUGAUUCAAUCUCCUUACUCGUUAUAGGUCUAUUUAGACUUUAUAUUUCUUUAUGAUUUAGUCUCAGUAGGUUUCUGUGCUUCUAGAAAAUUGUCCAUUUCAUCUAGGUUAUCCAGUUUGGUGGUGUGUAAUUCUUCAUAGUUCUCUCUUUUAAUUGUUUUUAUUUCUGUAGAAUUGGUAGUAAUGCCCACACAUUCAUUUCUGGUUUUAGUAAUUUUUUCUUAGUCCAUAUAGCUAAAGGUUUGUCAAUUUUAUUGCUGUUUUUAAAGAAUCAACUUUUGGUUUCAUUAAUUUUUUUAUUGUUUUUCCAUUUUUUUUUUUUUUAGUUCAUUAAGUUGUAUGUUACGCUAUUGAUUUGAGAUCUUUCUUGUUUUUUAAAGAAGGAAAUUAGGCCAGUUGCAGUGGCUCACACUUGUAAUCCCAGCACUUUAGAAGGCUGAGGUGGGAGGAUCACUUGAGGUCAAGAGUUCAAGACCAGCCUGGCCAAUAUGGUGAAACCCCAUCUCUACUAAAAAUACAAAAAUUAAUUGGGCGUAGUGGUACAUGCCUGUAGUUCUAGCUACUUGGAGGCUGAAGCAUGAGGCUGAAGCAUGAGAACUGCUUUAAUCUGGGAGGAGGAGAUUGUAGUGAACCAAGAUCAUGCCACUGCACUCCAGCCUGGAUGACAGAGAGCUUUUGCUGCAUUCAUAAGUUUUGGUAUGUUAUAUUUUCAGGUGUUAUUUGUCCCAAUUUUACAGAUUCAGAUAUCAAGGACCAGAGAUGUCAAGAGAUUUUCUUAAGUUCACACAAUUAUUAGUGGCCAAGCUAAG